Molecule: long non-coding RNA, 393 nt
Filed under: Brassica napus (rape)
Lineage: Eukaryota; Viridiplantae; Streptophyta; Magnoliopsida; Brassicales; Brassicaceae
Description: long non-coding RNA (BNAP_LNC012800)
Source: RNAcentral
AAAAACUUACUAUUUUGGGAAGGUCAUCAUAUUUAUAGAGAAAAAUUGUAGAUUUGGGAUUGUGAUUUAGAAAUUAGGAUAACAAAAGAAUUUGUUGAUAGAUGUGUAUCCUUUUAGAAAAUUUUAUCAAAAUUUUGUAUUUUAAAUAUUUUUAAAAAAUUUAUAAUUUUAGGUAAGGUCAUCUUUUUUUUUUAACAUUAAGGUCAUCAUAUUUAUAGAGAAAAAUUGUAGAUUUAGGAUUGUCAUUUGAACAGAAGCGUCUCAUGCCGCAGAGGUUUCAAGAAGAGGUUAGUAUGCGUAAAUGCCUUUGAGCAUCAUUAUCCAGGGUUUCUUAUGCGUAAAAGCUUUAUAGGGUAAACUGGGUGAUCAAGAUAGCUUCUAAACCCCGCCCUA